RNAcentral lists this transfer RNA (22 nucleotides) under Drosophila conformis. RNAcentral describes it as "partial tRNA-Phe". The record is from RNAcentral. Lineage: Eukaryota; Metazoa; Arthropoda; Insecta; Diptera; Drosophilidae.
UCUAAAUAUAAGCUAUUUGAAU